UUUUCUCUUCCUCCUUGCCUCCCUUUCCAAUUCCAACAUGAUCUUUUGUUUGUUUAUUAUAUCAUACUACUCAUUCUAUGUAAAGCAUUAUCUUUUUCCUGCCCGCCUCAACUGUCAUAAUCUUAGUUUUGCCUUUUUCCUGUUCCCUCCAAUUUCCUUUUAUCUCUCUUUCCUACUUUCUCCGCAUUUGUCCUUCUCUCUUUGAACGUGAACAGAUGAGCUUUAUGCCCAGAAGCUCAAGUACAAGGCCAUUAGUGAAGAGUUGGAUCAUGCCCUCAACGACAUGACCUCUAUAUAAAGAGUUUCUGGACUUUUCUCUGGCUGACUGUGACGUCAAGAUGUUCUCCUUCGUCCUCUCCAUCUUCUGUCCAUAUUUGUCGCUCAUUUCUUCUCUGAUCUUCUGCGUACUUCCCUUUUCACGGGUGUUCCACGUGCCUGUUUCUGUAACGUCUUCUUUAUUUAAGCAUCUAUUUGUGUUUCUGUUUUCUCUGAAUGCAUGUUAGUUCUUUAGAUAGUCCGUAUCAGGUCCAGGCUUCCCUUUCCCCCGAUUUGUCUCUUCAAAGAAUGUUCUCGUUGUUUUGUCCUUUUUUGCUUCUCUUUGACCUCUGCUGUAUUUUUGAUGCCUUUUGUCUGUUUAUUGAAGAGAAGAAAAAAGCUCUGGUCUCUUUUGAA
This is a long non-coding RNA of Triplophysa dalaica, 672 nucleotides long. RefSeq lists it as uncharacterized. The transcript has 2 exons. The record is from RefSeq and is a predicted model, not a curated record. NCBI's taxonomy places the organism in Eukaryota, Metazoa, Chordata, Actinopteri, Cypriniformes, Nemacheilidae.